UUUAAUAAUAUAAUUUUUGAACGCAAAUUGCACUCUCUGGUAUUCCUUAGAUUAUGCCUUUUUUAUCUUCAUUUUUAAUAAAAAUCGUUGUGGUUGCUGCUUUUCGUGGUGAUGCAUUGGAUGUGGGUCGUCUUGCCUUCGGUUAAGUGACCUAAAAUUUUGUAUGAUUCUCUCGAACGUAUUUAAAUGAUUUUACGUACGUUUGCGAUAUUGAAUACUAGGUGCGGUCCUUUUUAUGAUUUGCGCCUAUAAUUUGUUAUCAAAAUGACCUGAACUCAGGUAAGAGUACCCGCUGAACUUU
RNAcentral lists this unclassified non-coding RNA (301 nucleotides) under Glomus sp. RNAcentral describes it as "partial internal transcribed spacer 2". The record is from RNAcentral. Lineage: Eukaryota; Fungi; Glomeromycota; Glomeromycetes; Glomerales; Glomeraceae.